AUUUUAGUGAAUGAUUGGAUAAUAAUGGAUCCAAUUGACUCGCUUCUAGGCAAUUUUGGAAGAUAUCAGCUCUGGAUCUGCUUUAUUAUAUUCCUUAGCAAAUUUGGAGUUGGAUUGCAUCAAAUGGCCAUAAUAUUCCUUGCACCUCCUGUUCGUUACACGUGUACGCCUUCAUGCUCCAUUAGCUGUGAUAACCCUGUGUAUGAUAAAUCUGAAUUUGAUCGCACUAUCAUUACUGAAUGGAAUCUUAUAUGUAAGAAAGCGUGGCUUAAGGAUUUGACCCAAACUUUUUUUCAAUUUGGAGUUCUAGUGGGAAGUUUUGUUUUUGGAGUUGCUUCAGAUAGAUACGGACGAAGGAAGACCUUGCUUAUAUCUGUUAUUUUAGAAAUAUUUACUGGAAUAGUGGUGGCAUUUUUACCAGAUUAUUGGAGUUUUACUUUAAUAAGAAUGAUUUUAGGAAUAUCAGUUGGUGGUAUUAUGGUAGUAGCCUUUGUCCUUGUAAUGGAAUUCGUUGGUACUAAAAACAGAGAUGUUAUUUGUUCCCUUUUCCACCUUCCAUUUACUCUUGGACACAUGGCAUUGGCACUAUUUGGUUAUUACUUACGGGAUUACGUACAUUUUCAAAUGGGACUAUCGCUUACAAGUUUAAUACUUUUGAUAUAUAUUUGUAUCCUACCUGAAUCACCCCAGUGGCUUAUUGCUACGAAUCAACCUUUCAAGGCUAUCGAAUUAAUGGAAAAAGUUGCCAAAAUCAACGGUCGACCAAUCGACGUAGUUCGUAGAAGAAUUGAAGCUUAUCAGUUGGACUCAAUAAAAUUUACACAUAAAAAAGGAAAUGUAGUAGAUCUGUUUCGUACUCCUAAUUUGAGGAAAAAUAUAAUAGUUAUGUCAUUCAUGUGGUUUGUGUCUAGCUAUUGUUACUAUGGAAUAGCUCAUUACAUAAGCCAUUUGACUGGAAAUAUCUUUAUAAAUGUAGUUGCCAGCUCCAGUGUUUGUGUUAUGGGAUGUCUUUUAGUUAUUCCAUUGGUAAAAAAUUUUGGUCGUAAGAUAUUGGUAAUUACAUUUCAUACAUUUUGCGGUAUCUGUCUCAUAAUUGUUGCGUUCAUACCAGAAGGUAUUGCAUCUGUUAUAAUGGGCUGUAUUGGUGUUUUACUGUGUUUUAUGGCAUUUAUUGUUAGUUAUAUUUAUUGUUCGGAAAUGUUUCCGACAAUUGUACGAAAUGCUGCUAUAGGUAUUGCCUCCGUGUUUGCACGAGUUGGUGCUAUGUUGGCACCUUUUGUGGCAGGUUUGCGGCCACAUGGGAAAUGGUGUGCUCCUAUAUUAUUUGGCGUUUUUCCAAUUAUAUCAGCUUCUCUUUGUCUACUUCUGCCGGAAACAAAAGGUGUCGGAUUUCUAACUACGCUUGAAGACGGAGAAAACUUGGGUUCAACAAACGUCACACAACGUUCACAAGAAGCGAAUCAACAAUAAAGUAAUUGAGGCUUUUAUAUCCUUUAUUGCCCUGUAAUGUAUUUUGUGUUCAUUAAUCACAAAUUGUAUCGGAAAGUAGCAGAUUUUCUUUUUGCUCUAUGGGAGUUAUAUCCAGUGGCAUUAUUUCAAUGGUGCU
Danaus plexippus (monarch butterfly) is the source of this 1606-nucleotide RNA transcript. It is a transcript of the gene named lysocardiolipin acyltransferase 1-like, with no coding region annotated. Lineage: Eukaryota; Metazoa; Arthropoda; Insecta; Lepidoptera; Nymphalidae. The record is from RefSeq and is a predicted model, not a curated record. The transcript is spliced from 5 exons.